UCUAAACUCGGUUUCAGAGUGAUGCCGC
Molecule: non-coding RNA, 28 nt
Filed under: Mus musculus (house mouse)
Lineage: Eukaryota; Metazoa; Chordata; Mammalia; Rodentia; Muridae
Source: RNAcentral